AUUGAACGCUGGCGGCAUGCUUUACACAUGCAAGUCGAACGGUAACAGGUUAAGCUGACGAGUGGCGAACGGGUGAGUAAUGCAUCGGAACGUGCCCGGUCGUGGGGGAUAACGCAGCGAAAGCUGCGCUAAUACCGCAUACGAUCUGAGGAUGAAAGCGGGGGACCGUAAGGCCUCGCGCGAUCGGAGCGGCCGAUGUCAGAUUAGGUAGUUGGUGGGGUAAAGGCUCACCAAGCCGACGAUCUGUAGCUGGUCUGAGAGGACGACCAGCCACACUGGGACUGAGACACGGCCCAGACUCCUACGGGAGGCAGCAGUGGGGAAUUUUGGACAAUGGGCGCAAGCCUGAUCCAGCAAUGCCGCGUGCAGGAAGAAGGCCUUCGGGUUGUAAACUGCUUUUGUACGGAGCGAAAAGGCUCUCUCUAAUACAGGGGGCUCAUGACGGUACCGUAAGAAUAAGCACCGGCUAACUACGUGCCAGCAGCCGCGGUAA
Molecule: ribosomal RNA, 493 nt
Filed under: uncultured bacterium
Lineage: Bacteria
Description: partial 16S ribosomal RNA
Rfam family: Bacterial small subunit ribosomal RNA
Source: RNAcentral